RNAcentral lists this unclassified non-coding RNA (2583 nucleotides) under Pectinophora gossypiella (pink bollworm). RNAcentral's name for it is "uncharacterized LOC126366823". The record is from RNAcentral. Lineage: Eukaryota; Metazoa; Arthropoda; Insecta; Lepidoptera; Gelechiidae.
CCUAGGUCUUGAUGGGAUCUUGCCAUUACAUCAUUCGGUAACAAGUCUUGUAGUGAACCAGUCGCGAUGUGGAAGUCAAAAGUAUUUGUAUUGGUUGCUGUGGCUUUCGUGUGCUCCCUCGCCGGUAUUCCGAAUGCAGAACAUCCUAACUACUCUAAUGAACCAUGUGACAGCGCAAGUGAAGAACUUUCUAACUGCGCCAACGCAGUCUGCGCACAUCAGUUUUGUUCUGAGAGAACUUUAACAAUUGGUUGUCCGGGGGUAACUGAAUGUGACAAAGGGUGCAUUUGCAAGCCUGACUACUAUAGAGACGUAAAUGGAAUCUGCGUGCCUGAAAACCAAUGUUCCAUAGGGCCACAAUGCGGUGAAAAUGAAGAGUACACGCCGUGCAAGCAAAAACUUUGCAGACCAUAUUAUUGCGGUGAUGCUACGUCACCGUGCAACCCAGAAGACGUUAAGGAUGAUGAUUGUUCGGCCGAUUGCGUUUGCAAAGAAAACUAUGCAAGAAGCACUACGACUGGUUUCUGCGUGCCUUUAAGCGAAUGCUGACAUCUGUACUUAAAGUUUUUUUAAUUUCCUAACAUUUAGUACAAUAAUUUGCAAAUUAUAAAUGAAAGAAAAUAAAAACAUUUUUGAAGUAGAUACCUAACAUUUAUUUGUUACCUGAAACAUGUCUAUGCGAAAUGAUGAAUGGUGAUGAUGUACUACGAAAAUGUCACAGGAGACGUUCUAAUUCCUCAAAUUAUAGCAGCCAAUGACACUCAUUCUGGUUCUUCAAAUUUUUCAGACAUAGGUAAAAAAGGAAAUUAGCCCAGAAUCAGAAAUAUCUUCAAGCUUGUCAAGAGACCUCAGGCCACUUGUAAAGGUCAUCGUGAGGAGACCAACAUUCCCGAUAAAUACGUUUUGAAGGCUGGUUUUGCCUUUGUGGGUUGAAAACUCAGACAGCCAGUCAUACCCCCAAGCUUUAUCCCGUUUUCCCAGGGUCCGUUUACCUAACCUAAGAAUUUAACAGGUCCGGUCUUUUACAGAAGGGACUGCUUGUCUGACCUUCCAACUUGAAGGGAAAACCAGCUCGAUAUAUAUUAGAUCACACAGCUUUGACGCGCAUUUCUCGGUAAUGUAGGUUACUUAACGAUUUCAGACAGGCAGUCGUUUCUGUGAUAAACCGGAUCUGUUAAAUCUUAAGGUUAGGUUAGACACGGGAUAAUGCUAAGGAGAUGAAGACAAAUGUAUUGCUCAAAACCAUACGGCAUUUAUAAUGUAUUAGGUAUAAAAUAUGCCAUCACCCGAGCACGAUCUUUCAGCAAUAGGUGGACUUCAAUCAAUCUGCAAUAUAACGUGCUGGCUGUGAUUUAGGUACUUAAAACUUACAUAACUGGUUAGUAUAUUGGGGCUUUAAAUUAUAAAUAAUGCAUUGUUAUUCACGAUACCAAUGGCAGCUUUUUAAAACGUUACCAGCAUUUAUACUAGUUACUUAUCACAAAUAAUGAAAAACGAUCUAUUUAUGACAUAAAUACAUAACACAAAAUACGGUUGGUAUAUGGAACCGAUAUCUCAUAUAAAUAACAUUGAAAAAACUGUAUUUUCCGGUUGUCUAUUAAGUCAAAAGUUAAGCAAAACAAAAGUUAAAUAAAAACACGUUUUCUUGUAAGUAAGCAUAAACAAUAAUACACUUGGCUUCAUGAUAUGUGAUAUUAGGGUAAAGUUGCCAACAGAGAUUGCGGUCCACAAUAUAAAAAAUGGCGUUUGAUAAUUUUUGCUGACGUCAUAAUUAAUUAUUUCAUACAACGAACGGACAAAUCCCAACCGAACCGUCGUAUCUGUUUAAAAUGUCUUUUUUUCUGAACUUGAAAAAAUAAUUCAUAAAUCAGGACAUUUUUAUAGAUUACAAGUACAAGCACCUUAGAAUCAAAUUAAAAUCAACCAAAAAAAUAUGUGUCUCCACGUAUAUAACGUGAUGGGCUCUUGUUAUUAUGCCAUUCCGUAACAAGUCUAGCAGUGGAUCAGUCGCGAUGUGGAAAUCAAAAUUAUUUAUAUUGAUUGCUUUGGCUUUUGUGUGCGCCCGCGCCGGUGUUCCGGUUGAGUAUGAACCUACCUACUCAGAUGAGCCUUGUGACAGCGAAACCGAACAAUAUUCGGAUUGCGCCAACGCACAUUGUGGAAAUCAGCUAUGUUCUACGAAAACGCUAGGUGUUUUCUGUCCGUCUGUAACUGCAUGUGACAAAGGCUGCCUUUGCAAGUUUCAGUACUUGAGAAACGUAAACGGGACCUGCGUACCUGAAGAAAAGUGUUCCAUAGGGCCAUAAAGCGAUGAAAAUGAAGAGUUCACGCCGUGCAAGCAAAAACUUUCCAGACCAAAUUAUUGCGGUGACGUCACCUCACCAUGCAACCCAGAAGACGUUAAGGAUAAUGAUUGUUCGGCCGAUUGUGUUUGCAAAGAAAACUAGGCAAGAAGUACGUCUGGUUUCUGCGUGCCUUUAAGCGAAUGCUGACCUGAAAACUUACAGUUUUUUUUAAUUUAAUUACAUUACAUACAAUAAUUUGUAAAUUUUAAUGUCAGAAAAUAAACACAUUUUUGAAGUA